AUACGUAGGUGGCAAGCGUUGUCCGGAAUUAUUGGGCGUAAAGCGCGCGCAGGCGGUCCUUUAAGUCUGAUGUGAAAGCCCACGGCUCAACCGUGGAGGGUCAUUGGAAACUGGGGGACUUGAGUGCAGAAGAGGAAAGUGGAAUUCCAAGUGUAGCGGUGAAAUGCGUAGAGAUUUGGAGGAACACCAGUGGCGAAGGCGACUUUCUGGUCUGUAACUGACGCUGAGGCGCGAAAGCGUGGGGAGCAAACAGGAUUAGAUACCCUGGUAGUCCACGCCGUAAACGAUGAGUGCUAAGUGUUAGGGGGUUUCCGCCCCUUAGUGCUGCAGCUAACGCAUUAAGCACUCCGCCUGGGGAGUACGGUCGCAAGACUAAAACUCAAAUGAAUUGACGGGG
This 397-nucleotide ribosomal RNA is filed under the name uncultured bacterium. Its description in RNAcentral is "partial 16S ribosomal RNA". It matches the Rfam family "Bacterial small subunit ribosomal RNA", at positions 523 to 918 of the family's 1533-position model. The record is from RNAcentral.